Molecule: ribosomal RNA, 254 nt
Filed under: uncultured bacterium
Lineage: Bacteria
Description: partial 16S ribosomal RNA
Rfam family: Bacterial small subunit ribosomal RNA
Source: RNAcentral
UACGGGGGGAGCAAGCGUUGUUCGGAUUUACUGGGCGUAAAGGGCGCGUAGGCGGUCGUGACAAGUCACUUGUGAAAUCUCCGGGCUUAACUCGGAACGGUCAAGUGAUACUGUCGGACUAGAGUACAGAAGGGGCAACUGGAAUUCUCGGUGUAGCGGUGAAAUGCGUAGAUAUCUGGAGGAACACCGGUGGCGAAGGCGGCAUCCUGGACCGAGACUGACACUGAGGAGCGAAAGCCAGGGGAGCAAACGGG